AAUGAAAUGCCUGAUUAAAGGGUUAUCUUGAUAGGAUAAAUAAUGUAUUAAAUACUUUCAUUA
Molecule: transfer RNA, 63 nt
Filed under: Cardiodactylus muiri
Lineage: Eukaryota; Metazoa; Arthropoda; Insecta; Orthoptera; Gryllidae
Description: tRNA-Ile
Source: RNAcentral